Molecule: long non-coding RNA, 791 nt
Organism: Sceloporus undulatus (fence lizard)
Lineage: Eukaryota; Metazoa; Chordata; Lepidosauria; Squamata; Phrynosomatidae
Exons: 3
Source: RefSeq, a predicted model, not a curated record
AGGUUCUCCUCCUCCUCCAAGAGCAUCCUCUGCCCUCCGGAAGGCUGGCCUGAGGAUUUGGAAAAGAAAGGGGACAUCUGGGGCAGGGUGACCCUUAGGGGGUCCUCCUUUUUGGUCCAGGAGGCCUCCUCCCUCGCAGCCUUCUCUCCAGGAGGAAGGAAAGGAUGCUCCAGGACCUCCCUUUGGAGCAGCAGCAGCAACGGAUGGGAUUUGCAGAAGGGUCUCUGCUUUUGAGCUUUUUGUGGGACUGACAUCCGCAGCAUCAGGACCAGCCGCAGAGAGGAGGAGAACAACAACACCUAUCGCCCACGAGCAGCCGCUGGACCAGAGGACAGGGAUGCAGCUCAAGGGGGAGGCACCACAACCGAUUUGCUGCACAAGAAACCCAAAAGAGUAUCUUGUUGACACAAUCGUGCCAAAAAAAAGUGAUUCCGUUGGCAUAAUGAAAAGAUCCAGUUUUAUAGUGGGAACGAGGGACCUUUUGCAAUCGAUUUUGGAAUCGGAGCGAAGCCGAAUCGGAAAUCGCAUUAUACUGCCAAUGGGAAUGAGGUCUUGGGCUGGAUUGGGCCUCUUGCUCAAGAUCAAGUCACAAGAAAGAAUGGCAGUGCUUUCCAGGAAGGCCUGGUUCAGAAGCCCCAUCACAGGAGACAGAAAAAUGACAGUGGAGUAGAAAAGCCUUAUUAUGGAUGGAGAAGAUGCCUAUUCUAGCCCAAGUAGAGAACCAGCAUGGCAUGUUGCUUUGAGCGUUGGACUACGACUCUGGAGACCAGGGUUCAAUCCCCAGCUCAGCC